CAGGAGGGCAGAAGCAAUUCUCCUGUGUGUGCCCAGCGGCUGCCAAAGCGGUGACUGCUUCUCUUUGGAUGGAGAGCUUGUGGCUGCUAUGAAUUUGGGGCUGAUUUUAGUGCUUUAAGAAAAUGAGUAACAGGCCCAGGGAAACAGGUUGUUCUGCCCUGAUUGCGGAAGUCUCUGCAAAAUGCCAUUGUAAAGCUCACCAGGUGCUGCUGGACUUGAAUCUUGCUGGAGAAUCUUGCUGGAGGGAGGCAUUUUUGCCUGGAGAGGAAAGAGGUGGAAGAAGAUGCUGGCCGAAGGGGUAAUAGAUGCCUGGAGCUUGAGCAAGGGAAAGACUGGGCCUUUGACCAGGAAAGUUCCCAGUGGGAUGUAGGAGCCAGCUGAACCAAGCCCCGUUAAUACUGGUGAGAUGCCGCAGUGCCACCCGACUCGGACCAGAACUAGAGUGGCCAUGGACACAGCAUUGCCGGCUGCCUCUUCACACACCACAGGGUGGGUCCAAGCUCAGUGGCCUGUGUGAGAAUGCUGGUGCUACAGGGCCCAUGCGGCACAGCUUGCUUGUAGUCCAUUAUAAUGUCCCAAACCACUCCAGGUUCUUGCCACUCUCCUUCAAAAGGGGCAUGAGGCUUAAGCCAUAAUUAAAAUGCAGAUAUCAAGAUAAAUGAUGUAUGUACAUGCCAUCAAGUUGCAACUUAUGGUUGACCACAGCCAAGGGAAUUUCAAGGCAAGUGAAAAGCAGAGUCUCUCUUGGUGGUCCCCCAUCCAAGUACCAACCCUGCUUAGCUUCUGGGAUCUGACAUGAACAGGCUAUACUAUGUCCUCUUCCCUCCACCAAGAUCCAUCGGGGCCUAUCAAAGGGCAAAGGAGCAGCUGAAUUACAGUGUGUUUUAAGUCCUUAAGAACAGAUACAGGAGUCAAGCUGGUGUUGAAACAUCUGCCCAUCAUCAGCAAAGCCAAUUUGUGUCCUCAUCUCUCAGGCUUCAUGCAGUAAUCACACUAUAUUUACUAUUUCCCAUCACAUCAGCUUUGGAAGAUGGAGCUGAGCCCAGUAUUCCAACUUGAAAUGUAGACAUGUCUUGAACAUGUGUACCAAAUUUAAUUCCUACAUCUCAGUGAUCUGAGAGACAGAGACUAUGUUAUGGACACGCAAAAAGGCAAGCCAAAAAGAAAAACCAAACAUGCAUGCUAAAGCAGAGGACCAUCGCUUUAGUGAAAGUCAAUAUUUUACAUAGUAUUUUUAUAGUCUUAAUUCCACCCGUAUCAAUAAUUGCAAUAUCAAUAAUUGCAAGAUUUAGAUAUUUGAAAACAAAUUCAAGGUGGCUGCGUAUUGUUGAGAAUGCAUUUUAUUCUUUGCUGGAGAGAAGGAUUUUGUUUGUUUGUUUGUUUGUUUGUUUUGUCAACAGAUGCACCCAAUCUGCAUGUCCAGAGCACAACCAGCCACUUCUGCCCCCCCCCCCAUCUUUAAUUUCUUUCUCCUGGGGCUUAGGCUACACAACCUAACUCUGUUGGUGAGGGGUGCUUUUUAUGAAGGGGUUUGGUUCUGCAGGGAAGAAGAAGGGUAUUGGGGGGGGGCGGCUUCUGGUUUGGCAGAAUAGACUCCGAAAGGUGUUCCCAACCUAAUGCAAGGGUUUGUUUCGAUUCCAAAUCCUCCUAGAGGAAAAUUUCCACAUAUUUCAAAACCGGAGAAUGAGUAAAAGUCUUCUAAAAUGGGGGAACCCACUCAAAAGUUUGGUCUACCCUUCAUCUUGAAGAUGGCCCAUCCUCAUAAACGCCCUUAGCCUCUCCACAGCUGUAGCCAGCCCCGUCCAAAUCCACCAGAUGGCACUCUCCGCUGUUUUUUCCUCUCCUCCUCUAGAGAGUGUCCCACAGUUUCUUCAGCCGAGCAGGAGUUUCUCGGGAUGAAUUUUGCCUGAGGGCAGCUGCGAGCUGUCCCAUACUGAGUCCACACAGGUGCAGGAAAAGGCAGCAGCAAGAUCUCGGCGUGGUGGCAGGUGGAGAGGGUGUCUGCAUGACCUGCCCCCAUGCCACUUGCUGUUGUCCCCACUCCCACCUCACAUCAGUGUAGAAAAGUUGGUGCACUAAUAAUCAUACUGUGGAGCCCCACAGCCCAGCAAGCCCCCUUUUCUCCCCAUGGUUGAGGGGAGAACUGGGAAUGCAGAGCUCAUCUCUAAGUGCAGUUUAGCCCUGCCGCCGCCCCAGAUUGGCCGCAGGUUCAUUGUCCACACGGAUGCUUCUCCUGCAUCCAUUCCACACCACAACCCCGUGAGCCCAGAGCAUCAUGUGCAAUGGAAGCUCCCCCCAAAUAUGGAUGCUAUCUGCCCACACAAAAAUCCCUGUGCGGAAGCUGCUCCACACACCCUUUUUGAUGGUGAUGACAAGAGAAAAGGACUCGGCGUGCAUUUGGUUCCUUUUCACCAAAUAUCAGAGCUAAUCCCUGGAACAGGAUGCAGCUCAGUUGAGCCCUGUGGAACACAGCCUCGCUCAGCAGUCAGUGCCCCCACCUCCCAUAGGAUUGCCAAAUCCAGAUGGGAAAUUCCUGGAUAUUUGGGGGUAGAGCUUGGGGAGGGGAGGGACCGCAGCUCUGUAUAAGGCCACAGAGUCCACCCUCCAAAGCAGCCAUCCCCCCACCCCAGAACUGAUCUCUAUCAUCUAGAGAUCAAUUGUAAUUCUGGGAGAUCUUCAGGCCCCAUCCGGAGGUUGGCAACCAUAUUCCUGUCCCAGCUUGCAGCACUUUGUCCUUUCUCAAUGGGCCUCUUACUGGGGCCUCUUGCUGUCUGACAUGCCAGUUUGCUAGGGGCAAGGAAUUUUGUUUUUCAUGCAGAAACAUUUGCUUAUGAGCUUCCUGCACUCUGCAAUGGUACAUUCUAUGCAAUCAGCUUAGCGAGAACUCAGCCCACAUUAAUACUAUAGAACUAAUUCUGGACACCAGGAGAAGUAGGGGAAGGAACCUGUGAUUCAGGGAAGCUAACUGAGGGCAGACACAGCAAAACCAGUUACGUUGAAGACAGACUGUCUGUUCAUCUGUUCAAGUGAAGUAGAAGAACACAGAGAGUGGCGGCCAGAAAAGGUUAACUUAUCAAAUAGUCCCAAGUUACAUCUGUGCAGGUAAUCAGCCCCUCACUCUGGGGAAUGAGCUGCUACCAGGGCAACACUUGCAUGCUAUCUGUGAAUCUACAGCAUUGUAGGUGCUGAGUUUGGACACCAGUUGGAAGGGGUGGAAAUAAGACCGCACAAGCCCGUAUUAAGUGCUGGUAAGGAAGCGGCCAAAAUGGUGGUACAGACGGUACUUCCUGUCUUCUGCUUCAGUCCCUGUGUCCCAUGAAAGAGACAAUACCAGUAAGAAACGUCAGUUACUUUCACCCAUGGUAGCGAUUCCAAUCCAUGCCCUGCUUGUAGGCCUUUGAGAGGGGUAUUUUGUUAGCCACUGUGAGAAAGAGAAGCCUGGACUAAGACCACCAUUGGUAUGAUCCAGCAGGGCUGCUCUUCUGUUCUUCUUGGUCUUUGCACAUGUCCAGGAACUAGGGUGCCUGCCAACUUCAGCUUGGAAAAUUCCAGGAGAUUCUCAGCAAGGAUAUGUCACUCUAGGACUUCUAUUUCUCCUAGGCUCCUAUGGUAUACCAUAGAGGCCGCCCUCUGAAACUUCUAGUUUCUCCAGGGAAUUUGAUUACUGUAAUCUGGAGAGCUGUUGUAAUUCCAGGAGAAUUCUGGUCCCCACCUUGAAGUUGGUAACUCUGUCCAGGACUGGGAUCAAAUCCCACCCAUGAAGUCACACAGCUGUAACUGCAAGGACAGUGAGAUAGAUGCCAAAGAGGGAAAGGUUCUUGGGUUCAUUCUUAGUACUUGGGAUGAGUUGAGAGGAUAAUAAAUAACAAUGAAAAGGGAAGACACUGGCCAGCAGCCAGGCCUCUGACAGAAGUGAGGUAUAAGAGUUCCCUUAACCGACCCAGUUCCUACAGUGACAGUCUGGAUGCUGCCCUUUCUUUCCCUGCCUAUUUGACAAAGUGGUGCUGAACUCAGAGUCCUUUGAAGUCCUUCAGUAGGGGUUUCAGCCAACAGGAAAGAUUCCCAGCAGCUGUUUCCUUCCCUAGAGUGAGCCAAAUUGUUUGGAUGGUUCAACAGACAGAGAACAGAAGGCGUUUCUCCUAUCUCACAAGCAGCCCCCUCUGGCCCGGGGGCGGUUUUCUGAGGCAGGAUGACGGCUCUUCGGCCUAGUCAAAGGGCACCACCAAGGGCCAUGAUGGUGUUUCCUCUGUCCAGGGCUUAUUUAUUUAUAAGCCAUUUUUACAAGGUUUCAAAUUAGGUCAUAAUAUGAAAAAAAAAUCAAACAUUGGAAAUUUUAGAGAGCCAGUUUGGUGUAGUGGUUAAGAGCGCAGGACUCUAAUCUGGAGAGCCGGGUUUGAUUCCCCACUCCUCCACUUGAAGCCAGCUGGGUGACCUUGGGUCAGUCACAGCUCUACCAGAGCUCCCACCUCACAGGGUGAUUAUUGUUGUGGGGAUAAUAAUGACAUACUUUGUAAACUGCUCUGAGUGGGCAUUAAGAUGUCCUGAAGGGCGGUAUAUAAAUCGAAUGUUGUUGUUGUUGUUAUUAAUGCCCAUAGCAGAAUUUGAAUAGGCACAGCUAAAACAACUCAGCGCUCUAAUAACUCAAGAGAGGUAGACACAACACAUAUACCCUGCCCAAGGGAAUUAGUAGUCCCAUUCUGAUUUUUUGGCUGGCUGGCAUCCUAAACCCUUUUAAACCAGGUUUUAGGAUGGGGCUGCAAUAUCAGGAAAAAUUAAUGGAAAGCUCAUUUAAAAAGCACACAUAUACCCCACCUUCAAAAGAAACGUAUCAACAGGGAAGCUCUGAGAAGGGUCUUGUCUGUGUGGACAUAGUCUGGCCACAUAGUGAUCAAGUGGAGCUCAAGUGAACAGGGAAGAAUACACAUGAGUCCGUUCACUUGCCAUUCAAGUGUAAUUCGUCACUUGUAGCUUGGGUCUGAGUCUACAUUCCCAAAAAAGCUUGCCAGCUAAGAGGCAGGCAAGGCUGUCUUUCUGGCCCCAAGCCUCUAGCUUGUUUACUACAGUUCCCAGAUGGAUCAGGGAAGCCAUCCACCAGAUAGCAAGUGGAGGAAAGGCCUCUGUUAUGAGGCUCGCAGAACCCAGAAGUGGCUACCCUGCCGUUUCACUCCUGGAGAUUUGAUGAAAAUGGUGCUGUAGCCAAUUAUUUUUUUCACCCAGGGCAGGUUCUCAACAAUCCAUCCGUUCCUCCCCAAUUCUUCUGAUAUCACACAGAUUUAAAUGUUAUGUUUAAUCCUCUUCCCAUCGUCCAGCAUGCAUUCCAAAAAUGACAUACCAGGCUAUUUUGUUCAAUAUGGCAGCUCCAUCCCCUAGCGGAGCUAGGAUGUGUUCACAUCACUGACAUUUCUCAAGCAGGCUUUUUGUUCCCAUGUAAAUAUAUAUAUAAAUCUGUAUACAACGUAUGUAAUGUGUCUAUCCAAGUCCAACUCUAAUUUUCACUUCUUUUCCCCAGCACUUUAAUCCUGCUAUUGCCAUUCAUUGUGGAAAAGAGUUAAGUCUUGGGCAACUCAAGGACGAUUGUGUUCCUUGAUUUCUGAAAGUCUCACUGCUUACAGUGAAAUCCUAAGCAGAGUUACAAUGGGCUUAGACUGGAGUAACACUUCUUAAGAUUUCACUGUUGGAUAGACUGUGCUCACUGCUGGCUGCUCUAUUGUGAGUCAGUUUAGGAUACUGUGGAAAGCCUGCUGAUUUCUCUAGCCCAGUCGACAUGUAUCUGAUUCUCUUCUUCUUCGGUCUCAUGCACCAACAGUAUCCCAU
This is a long non-coding RNA of Eublepharis macularius, 5814 nucleotides long. RefSeq lists it as uncharacterized. Lineage: Eukaryota; Metazoa; Chordata; Lepidosauria; Squamata; Eublepharidae. The record is from RefSeq and is a predicted model, not a curated record. The transcript has 5 exons.